UCUCUACGGAAUAACUCAGGGAAACUUGUGCUAAUACCGUAUACGCCCUUCGGGGGAAAGAUUUAUCGGAGAUGGAUGAGCCCGCGUUGGAUUAGCUAGUUGGUGGGGUAAAGGCCUACCAAGGCGACGAUCCAUAGCUGGUCUGAGAGGAUGAUCAGCCACAUUGGGACUGAGACACGGCCCAAACUCCUACGGGAGGCAGCAGUGGGGAAUAUUGGACAAUGGGCGCAAGCCUGAUCCAGCCAUGCCGCGUGAGUGAUGAAGGCCCUAGGGUUGUAAAGCUCUUUCACCGGUGAAGAUAAUGACGGUAACCGGAGAAGAAGCCCCGGCUAACUUCGUGCCAGCAGCCGCGGUAAUACGAAGGGGGCUAGCGUUGUUCGGAAUUACUGGGCGUAAAGCGCACGUAGGCGGGUAUUUAAGUCAGGGGUGAAAUCCCAGAGCUCAACUCUGGAACUGCCUUUGAUACUGGGUACCUAGAGUAUGGAAGAGGUGAGUGGAAUUCCGAGUGUAGAGGUGAAAUUCGUAUAUUCGGAGGAACACCAGUGGCGAAGGCGGCUCACUGGUCCAUUACUGACGCUGAGGUGCGAAAG
Molecule: ribosomal RNA, 590 nt
Filed under: Rhizobium sp.
Lineage: Bacteria; Pseudomonadati; Pseudomonadota; Alphaproteobacteria; Hyphomicrobiales; Rhizobiaceae
Description: bacterial SSU rRNA
Rfam family: Bacterial small subunit ribosomal RNA
Source: RNAcentral